UAUCCGACCUCAGAUCGGGCGAGAUU
RNAcentral lists this ribosomal RNA (26 nucleotides) under Biomphalaria amazonica. Its description in RNAcentral is "partial 28S ribosomal RNA". Lineage: Eukaryota; Metazoa; Mollusca; Gastropoda; Planorbidae. The record is from RNAcentral.